AUUUUUGAGAGUAGUAUUUCAAUAAAAUUGGUUUUCUUUGUAAUUUAUGGAACUUUUUUUAAAACUGGAUUUAAAGAUCUUAGAGGAGCUGGGGCUGGGGCUCAGCAGUAGCAUACUUGCCUAGCAUGUGUGGGGCACUGGGUUCGAUUCUCAGCACCACGUGUAAAUAAAAAAAAAAUAAAGGUCUAUCAACAACUAAAAAAUAAAAAUAAAAAGAUCUUAUACUCAGAAAGAGUCCACCAUACAAAAAAGGUCAAGAACCCCUGUCCAUCCCUACACAAAACAGCAGGUGCAAGGGCUCAAGGCAGAAGCAUGCUUACAAUGUCAAAGGAAGAGGUCACCCAGGACACUGUAAGGAACUUGAAUUUGACUGAAGUGAUAUGAGGGGGUUGUCAUUGGUAUCAUGAAUGACAUGAUCUGACACUGGAUUUUACAGGUCACUCAGCUUUCAUACAGAGAGCAGACCAAAGUGGGGAAGGCUGAAGUCGAAGGAUGUAUGGGAAGACAUGUUGAUUCACUCACCAAGUGAGGGAAGAUGUUACCUUGGACCAGAGUGGCAGUGGUGGAAAUGGUGAGAAGUGGUCAAGUUCUGUGUAUAUUUUGGAGAAUUUGCUUAUGGAAUGUGAGAGAAAGACACUAAGGAUGACUACAAGAGUUUGACCUUAAGCCCAUGGAAGGAUGGAUUGCCAUUGGCUAAGGCAGGGGAAACUGGAAGGAAUAGGUUUUAGAGGAGGAUAAGGAGCUUAUUGUUGGACAUACUGAGCUCGAGAUGCCUGUUUGACAUCAAGUGCAGCCAUCCCACAGGGAGCUCAACAUGGCAGCCUUAGUUUGGGGCAAGGUCUUGGCUGAAGAUAUUAUUUAAGAAUUAUCAGCAGGUGGAUGGUAUUUAAAGCUACAGGAGAUCAUCCAAGUGUAGAAAGAGAAGGGACUCAAAGAUGGCUGGAAGACAGAGAGGAAUCAGCAAAGAUGUCAUCAAAAAAGAAGCAUCUAGGGACUGGGAUUGUGGCUCAGUAGUAGAGCACCCACCUAGCACAUGUGAGGCGCUGGGUGUGAAUAUAUAAAAAAUCUCAGCACUACAUGUGAAUAUAUAAAAAAUAAAGGUAUUGUGUCCACCUGCAACUAAAAAUAAAUAAAUAAAAAGCAUCCAAAGAGAUAGAAUGCCCUGGAAGCCAAGGGAAGCAAGAGUUACAGGAGGAAAGAAAGCCCUACGUCCAAAUCUGCGGGGAAUCAAACAUUAGGUUCAGAAACAUGGAGGUCAAUGGUGACCUUGAUAAGAGCCAUGUCAAUGGAAUGGUUCAAGCAAAACCUUGAUUGGACUGGGUUCAAGAAAGAGUGGCAACAUUUACAGUUGCUAUCAUGUGUUCCAGUAUGCUACUAAAAAUAAGAUAGCCAGGGCUGGGGUUGUAGCUCAGUGGUGGAACACUUGCCUACCACGUAUGAGGCACUGGAUUCAAUCCUCAGUACCUCAUAAAAAUAAAUAAAUAAAAUAGAGGUAUUUAUUAUGUCCAUCUAUAACUAAUAUAUAUAUAUUAAAGAAAUAAGACACCCUUUGUAUGUUUGUGAAUAUGUAUAGAACAGUAUAACCACGUAGCUGUAGAAAUUCAACUUAGACAACUUUUAGUGAGGAUCUUUCUGUUCCUUAAGCAUGGUAAGGGAUGUUCUGAGAGAAAUAAAGCACACUUGACUGCCUUCCGAGUCUAUAAAAUUUUGUUGACAAACGAAAUGUACACAAAGCCAUAUAUCUGGCUAAAUACACAUAUCAGCCUGACUAUUAGUUUUGCCAGUGUAACAGACAAUAUGACGAAAACUAUGCAUUCCAGAGUUAGACAGUCCUGGGUUUGCAUCCUUCCUUGACCAUUCAACAGCUUUAUGACUUUUCAUAGAUCAGUUAUCCUGUCUGUGCCUCAUUUUUCUUCUCUGUUAACUGGGGAUGAGUCAUUUCCAAACUUCAUUGUGCUGGGGAAUGGUGAUGCUCAGUAAAAAUGUAGACUUCUAGACCUUAUCCCCAAAGACUCCCAGUGGGCAGGUCUCCGAGACCUGUUCUUGAUGCCCUUACCCAUGAACCACAGUUUGUGAAACACAGACAACAUGACCACAUGGUUUCAAGUACUGGCCUGGUACUCAGUAAUUGCUUAUUAGACAAUAGCUGUUCUUCCAGGAGUCCUUAGUGGGAACAAACAUCCUUUUAAAAAUAACUUGCAGGGUUGGGGAUGUGGCUCAAGCGGUAGUGAGCUCGCCUGGCAUGUGUGCGGCCAGGGUUCGAUCCUCAGCACCACAUACAAACAAAGAUGUUGUGUCUGCCGAAAACUAAAAAAUAAAUAUUAAAAAAUUUAAAAAAAAUAAAAAUAAAAAUAACUUGCAAUUUAUAUACAGAAGCAGAAGGUCCAGCAUACCUUAAGAACUUUAAUUGAAAAAAUAGCAUAAGAACUUUAAUUGAAAAAAAGCAUAAGAUUUUGGUGUAUAUACACACACACACACACACGCAUACACACAAUGGAAUACUACUCAG
Molecule: long non-coding RNA, 2509 nt
Filed under: Marmota monax (woodchuck)
Lineage: Eukaryota; Metazoa; Chordata; Mammalia; Rodentia; Sciuridae
Source: RNAcentral